RNAcentral lists this ribosomal RNA (253 nucleotides) under uncultured bacterium. Its description in RNAcentral is "partial 16S ribosomal RNA". It matches the Rfam family "Bacterial small subunit ribosomal RNA", at positions 524 to 776 of the family's 1533-position model. The record is from RNAcentral.
UACGUAGGGGGCAAGCGUUGUCCGGAUUUAUUGGGCGUAAAGAGCGUGUAGGCGGCUGGGUAGGUCCGUUGUGAAAACUCGAGGCUCAACCUCGAGACGCCGAUGGAAACCCCCCAGCUAGAGUCCGGAAGAGGAGAGUGGAAUUCCUGGUGUAGCGGUGAAAUGCGCAGAUAUCAGGAGGAACACCGAUGGCGAAGGCAGAUCUCUGGGCCGUAACUGACGCUGAGGAGCGAAAGCGUGGGGAGCGAACAGG